GCUGUAAAAAAUUAGUGAAGGCAAAGCAACAAUAUAUGUAGAAUAGGGAAUUAUAUGUGGAAUCUCACAAUCUCACCUCUCUUACCAACCGAAGCUCAUGUGAGUUCCCUGCAGAUUACAACGGCCAAUGCGAGGUGGUAACCGAGAAUGAUGGUUGGGAGAACCCAAGAUCAGUAUUUUCCUAUGACGGUGGGUUAUUUGUGGAGCUUGGUGGGGAUAUACUUCACAAGGAAUGCAGUCUGAAUUCUUGAUAUUGUAAAGUUAAACCACAAUCCAAACUAGAAGUUCAAUGCCUAGUGCUGACCACAAGAUAUGAGUGAUGUAAAUAGAUCAAACACACGCGCAAAGAUAAUUUAGAUUUGAUGCAAACAAGGAGUAUGCCUAGGAUGCAAGUGUUGCAAUCAAACCCAAGCAAAAUUUUGCACCAAAGAUGGAUAAUGACUGAUUGUGUGACUUGAUAUAAAAUUCAGAACUUGAGCACAUAAACAGAGUGAACUUUCUACUCUUUCUUCACAA
This 516-nucleotide long non-coding RNA is filed under the name Sorghum bicolor (sorghum). RNAcentral's name for it is "long non-coding RNA (SBIC_LNC006580)". Lineage: Eukaryota; Viridiplantae; Streptophyta; Magnoliopsida; Poales; Poaceae. The record is from RNAcentral.